This is a long non-coding RNA of Thrips palmi, 619 nucleotides long. RefSeq lists it as uncharacterized. The transcript has 3 exons. The record is from RefSeq and is a predicted model, not a curated record. Lineage: Eukaryota; Metazoa; Arthropoda; Insecta; Thysanoptera; Thripidae.
GUAUGUAGCCUAACCUCUGCGAACUUGGCGCGUAGCUUCUCUUUGUCGUUUCUGUUGCCUUCUGACCUUCUGGCUCGGAGCAUAUGAAUAGUUUAUAUUUCUAGUGACUGACUAGAGACGCGAGCCUCAGAAACGCCUCAGUCUUCUCCUUUGUUCUCAAAAUCUCAUUCAGUUUAUUUGCUUUGCUUUAGCUCAUCACUUCUUCUUUUUCAGAAACUAGGUUCACUUUUUCAUGUAUUCUAAUCGUUGGUUUGUUUGCAGGUAUGGGAUUGGAUCAUUGCUGCAUUUCAUCACUGCUGAUUUGAUCACUUGAUGCAUCACUUCUUUUGCCGACAAGUGUCAAAUCUCAUCACUCCCUGAGGUUCCACUGUUUAAUGUGUGAUUCUGGGUGGCCCCUUUAUCCGAUUCCCUCUGGCGACCCUGCCUGGUCUGCUUUCCUGCGGUGGACUGCGGACUGUGGAUACCACUUGUUUACAUUGGUUUUUUUAAAUUUUUCAUUGUUGCCUGAGAGUAGCCAAACCCUCGCCUUCCAUCGUCUUUUCUUGUGAUUGAUUGGUGUCCCUCUGGACUGACGACACUGCUUGGUCUGCUUUCCUGCGGUGGACAGCGGACUGUGGAC